CCUACGGGUGGCUGCAGUGGGGAAUAUUGCACAAUGGGGGAAACCCUGAUGCAGCGACGCCGCGUGAGCGAUGAAGUAUUUCGGUAUGUAAAGUUCUAUCAGCAGGGAAGAAAAUGACGGUAUCUGACUAAGAUGCCCCGGCUAACUACGUGCCAGCAGCCGCGGUAAUACGUGGGGGGCAAUCGUUUUCCGGAUUUACUGGGGGUGAAGGGGGCGUAGACGGAUGUGCAAGCCAGAUGUGAAAGCCCGGGGCUCAACCCCGGGACUGUAUUUGGAACUGUGUGGCUGGAGUGUCGGAGAGGCAGGCGGAAUUCCUAGGGUAGCGGGGAAAUGCGUAGAUAGUAGGAGGAACACCAGUGGCGAAGGCGGACUACUGGACGAUGACUGACGUUGAGGCUCGAAAGCGUGGGGAGCAAACAGGAUUAGAUACCCUGGUAGUC
Molecule: ribosomal RNA, 440 nt
Filed under: uncultured bacterium
Lineage: Bacteria
Description: partial 16S ribosomal RNA
Rfam family: Bacterial small subunit ribosomal RNA
Source: RNAcentral